RNAcentral lists this long non-coding RNA (251 nucleotides) under Elaeis guineensis (African oil palm). Its description in RNAcentral is "long non-coding RNA (EGUI_LNC037487)". The record is from RNAcentral. Lineage: Eukaryota; Viridiplantae; Streptophyta; Magnoliopsida; Arecales; Arecaceae.
AAGGGUAUGACUUAACUAAAAUACUAUAGUUUGUUGUGCUAUCCAUAAGGCUAUAAGUAUUUUAGGGGCAAAAGUUAUGUUAGAGUUGCAUGAGAUGCAAUUAGUAAAUAGUUACUUAUCCUUAAAUUCAUAAGAGCUUGUUAUGCUAUUCACAAGACUUUUUAUGAAAAAUUGAGAUCUCAACCCCACUAUAAAACUUUAUGAUAAGGUUCUUCGAUUUCAUACUUGAGGACUAUGAAAUUCAUUAAAAU